This 292-nucleotide ribosomal RNA is filed under the name uncultured bacterium. RNAcentral's name for it is "partial 16S ribosomal RNA". It matches the Rfam family "Bacterial small subunit ribosomal RNA", at positions 55 to 339 of the family's 1533-position model. The record is from RNAcentral.
AUGCAAGUCGAGGGAAACGAUAGAGAAAGCUUGCUUUUUCUAGGCGUCGACCGGCGCACGGGUGAGUAACGCGUAUGCAACCUGCCCUUCACAGGGGGAUAACCGGGAGAAAUUCCGACUAAUACCGCAUACGUCCUCCGGGGGCAUCCCCGGGGGAUGAAAGAAUUAUCGGUGAAGGAUGGGCAUGCGUGAUAUUAGGUAGUUGGCGGGGCAACGGCCCACCAAGCCCACGAUAUCUAGGGGUUCUGAGAGGAAGGUCCCCACAUUGGUACUGAGACACGGACCAAACUCC